AGAGUGAACGCUGGCGGUAGGCCUAACACAUGCAAGUCGAACGGCAGCACGGUAAGAGCUUGCUCUUAUGGGUGGCGAGUGGCGGACGGGUGAGGAAUACAUCGGAAUCUACCUUUUGGUGGGGGAUAACGUAGGGAAACUUACGCUAAUACCGCAUACGCCCUUCGGGGGAAAGCCGGGGACCAGCAAUGGCCUGGUGCUGAUAGAUGAGCCGAUGUCGGAUUAGCUAGUUGGUGAGGUAAUGGCUCACCAAGGCGACGAUCCGUAGCUGGUCUGAGAGGAUGAUCAGCCACACUGGAACUGAGACACGGUCCAGACUCCUACGGGAGCAGCAGUGGGGAAUAUUGGACAAUGGGCGCAAGCCUGAUCCAGCCAUACCGCGUGGGUGGAAGAGGGCCUUGGGUUACGUAAG
This 412-nucleotide ribosomal RNA is filed under the name uncultured soil bacterium. Its description in RNAcentral is "bacterial SSU rRNA". It matches the Rfam family "Bacterial small subunit ribosomal RNA", at positions 26 to 429 of the family's 1533-position model. The record is from RNAcentral.